AGAGUUUGAUCCUGGCUCAGGAUGAACGCUAGCUACAGGCUUAACACAUGCAAGUCGAGGGGAAACGAUAUUGGAAGCUUGCUUCCGAUAGGCGUCGACCGGCGCACGGGUGAGUAACGCGUAUCCAACCUGCCCAUCACUUGGGGAUAACCUUGCGAAAGUAAGACUAAUACCCAAUGACGUCUCUAGAAGACAUCUGAAGGAGAUUAAAGAUUUAUCGGUGAUGGAUGGGGAUGCGUCUGAUUAGCUUGUUGGCGGGGUAACGGCCCACCAAGGCAACGAUCAGUAGGGGUUCUGAGAGGAAGGUCCCCCACAUUGGAACUGAGACACGGUCCAAACUCCUACGGGAGGCAGCAGUGAGGAAUAUUGGUCAAUGGGCGAGAGCCUGAACCAGCCAAGUAGCGUGCAGGAAGACGGCCCUAUGGGUUGUAAACUGCUUUUAUAAGGGAAUAAAGUUAGUCUCGUGAGACUUUUUGCAUGUACCUUAUGAAUAAGGACCGGCUAAUUCCGUGCCAGCAGCCGCGGUAAUACGGAAGGUCCGGGCGUUAUCCGGAUUUAUUGGGUUUAAAGGGAGCGUAGGCCGGAGAUUAAGCGUGUUGUGAAAUGUAGACGCUCAACGUCUGCACUGCAGCGCGAACUGGUUUCCUUGAGUACGCACAAAGUGGGCGGAAUUCGUGAUGUAGCGGUGAAAUGCUUAGAUAUCACUCAGAACACCGAUUGCGAAGGCAUCUGGCGAAUCCGUAACUGACGCUGAGGCACGAAAGCGUGGGGAUAGAACAGGAUUAGAUACCCUGGUAUUCCACGCCGUAAACGAUGAUGGCUAACCGCCGGCGACACACUGUCGGUGGCCAAGCGAAAGCGAUAAGCCAUCCACCUGGGGAGUACGUCGGCAACGAUGAAACUCAAAGGAAUUGACGGGGGCCCGCACAAGCGGAGGAACAUGUGGUUUAAUUCGAUGAUACGCGAGGAACCUUACCCGGGCUCGAACGGCACCUGGAUCGCCCAGAGAUGGGCGAGUCUUCGGACAGGUGUCGAGGUGCUGCAUGGUUGUCGUCAGCUCGUGCCGUGAGGUGUCGGCUCAAGUGCCAUAACGAGCGCAACCCCUGCCGCCAGUUGCCAUCAGGUGAUGCUGGGCACUCUGGCGGGACUGCCACCGCAAGGUGUGAGGAGGGGGGGGAUGACGUCAAAUCAGCACGGCCCUUACGUCCGGGGCGACACACGUGUUACAAUGGCGGCCACAGAGGGAAGCUACCCCGCGAGGGGAUGCGGAUCUCGAAAGGCCGUCCCAGUUCGGACUGGAGUCUGCAACCCGACUCCACGAAGUUGGAUUCGCUAGUAAUCGCGCAUCAGCCAUGGCGCGGUGAAUACGUUCCCGGGCCUUGUACACACCGCCCGUCAAGCCAUGGAAGCCGCGGGCGCCUGAAGUCCGUGACCGUAAGGAGCGGCCUAGGGCGAAAGUGGUAACUGGGGCUAAGUCGUAACAAGGUA
Molecule: ribosomal RNA, 1488 nt
Filed under: metagenome
Description: bacterial SSU rRNA
Rfam family: Bacterial small subunit ribosomal RNA
Source: RNAcentral